Molecule: ribosomal RNA, 1774 nt
Filed under: Aliidiomarina maris
Lineage: Bacteria; Pseudomonadati; Pseudomonadota; Gammaproteobacteria; Alteromonadales; Idiomarinaceae
Description: bacterial SSU rRNA
Rfam family: Bacterial small subunit ribosomal RNA (bases 234-1774)
Source: RNAcentral
AACGCCAAGCAAAACGUUCUUUAACAAUAUAUCAAAGCCAAGCAAUCUGUGUGGGCACUUACAUUGAUUGAGCAACUUAAAAAGCUACCUAGGUAGCAGAGUCGGACGGCAAGCUUGUCUUGCAAUAAGAAUCAAAAUGCUCAUGAAAUGCUGGUGACCAAACAAAGCGGUCUUUAAUGACCAAAUUGAUUUAAGAACCAACGAUUCAUUGAGCACUUGCAUAUCAAAAUCUUUAAUUGAAGAGUUUGAUCAUGGCUCAGAUUGAACGCUGGCGGCAGGCCUAACACAUGCAAGUCGAGCGGUAACAUUUCUAGCUUGCUAGAAGAUGACGAGCGGCGGACGGGUGAGUAAUACUUGGGGAUCUGCCUGAUGGAGGGGGACAACCACUGGAAACGGUGGCUAAUACCGCAUGACGCCUACGGGCCAAAGUGUGGGACCUUCGGGCCACACGCCAUCAGAUGAACCCAAGCGAGAUUAGCUAGUUGGUGAGGUAACGGCUCACCAAGGCGACGAUCUCUAGCUGGUCUGAGAGGAUGAUCAGCCACACUGGGACUGAGACACGGCCCAGACUCCUACGGGAGGCAGCAGUGGGGAAUAUUGGACAAUGGGCGCAAGCCUGAUCCAGCCAUGCCGCGUGUGUGAAGAAGGCCUUAGGGUUGUAAAGCACUUUCAGUGGUGAGGAAGGCGUUGUAGUUAAUAGCUGCAACGAUUGACGUUAGCCACAGAAGAAGCACCGGCUAACUCCGUGCCAGCAGCCGCGGUAAUACGGAGGGUGCGAGCGUUAAUCGGAAUUACUGGGCGUAAAGCGCACGUAGGCGGCUUGUUAAGCAAGAUGUGAAAGCCCAGGGCUCAACCUUGGAAUUGCAUUUUGAACUGGCAAGCUAGAGUUUUGAAGAGGGUGGUAGAAUUUCCAGUGUAGCGGUGAAAUGCGUAGAUAUUGGAAGGAAUACCAGUGGCGAAGGCGGCCACCUGGUCAAAAACUGACGCUGAGGAGCGAAAGCGUGGGGAGCAAACAGGAUUAGAUACCCUGGUAGUCCACGCCGUAAACGAUGUCGACUAGUUGUUCGUGUCUUUAAGAUGUGAGUAACGCAGCUAACGCACUAAGUCGACCGCCUGGGGAGUACGGCCGCAAGGUUAAAACUCAAAUGAAUUGACGGGGGCCCGCACAAGCGGUGGAGCAUGUGGUUUAAUUCGAUGCAACGCGAAGAACCUUACCAUCCCUUGACAUCCAGAGAAUCAUCUAGAGAUAGAUGAGUGCCUUCGGGAACUCUGAGACAGGUGCUGCAUGGCUGUCGUCAGCUCGUGUUGUGAGAUGUUGGGUUAAGUCCCGCAACGAGCGCAACCCUUAUCCUUAGUUGCCAGCACAUAAUGGUGGGAACUCUAGGGAGACUGCCGGUGAUAAACCGGAGGAAGGUGGGGACGACGUCAAGUCAUCAUGGCCCUUACGGGAUGGGCUACACACGUGCUACAAUGGCGCACACAAAGGGCAGCAAGCUAGCGAUAGCAAGCGAAUCUCAAAAAGUGCGUCGUAGUCCGGAUUGGAGUCUGCAACUCGACUCCAUGAAGUCGGAAUCGCUAGUAAUCGUGGAUCAGAAUGCCACGGUGAAUACGUUCCCGGGCCUUGUACACACCGCCCGUCACACCAUGGGAGUGGGCUGCACCAGAAGUAGAUAGCUUAACCUUCGGGAGGGCGUUUACCACGGUGUGGUUCAUGACUGGGGUGAAGUCGUAACAAGGUAGCCGUAGGGGAACCUGCGGCUGGAUCACCUCCUUA